This 433-nucleotide ribosomal RNA is filed under the name uncultured bacterium. RNAcentral's name for it is "partial 16S ribosomal RNA". It matches the Rfam family "Bacterial small subunit ribosomal RNA", at positions 29 to 507 of the family's 1533-position model. The record is from RNAcentral.
AACGAACGCUGGCGGCAUGCCUAACACAUGCAAGUCGAACGAGACCUUCGGGUCUAGUGGCGCACGGGUGCGUAACGCGUGGGAACCUGCCCUUAGGUUCGGAAUAACUCCCCGAAAGGGGUGCUAAUACCGGAUAAUGUCUUCGGACCAAAGAUUUAUCGCCUUUGGAUGGGCCCGCGUUGGAUUAGCUAGUUGGUAGGGUAAAAGCCUACCAAGGCGACGAUCCAUAGCUGGUCUGAGAGGAUGAUCAGCCACACUGGGACUGAGACACGGCCCAGACUCCUACGGGAGGCAGCAGUGGGGAAUAUUGGACAAUGGGCGAAAGCCUGAUCCAGCAAUGCCGCGUGGGUGAUGAAGGCCUUAGGGUUGUAAAGCUCUUUUACCCGGGAUGAUAAUGACAGUACCGGGAGAAUAAGCUCCGACUAACUCCGUG